GCCGUCGUCGACCAGUGGAAGGUCGUCCUCGCCAUGUAACGGGCGUCGGGCAUUCACUUAUUCCGAGGAAGGCGGCGGGUUCGAUUCCCCCCGACGGUA
Non-coding RNA from Mycena latifolia, 99 nucleotides. The record is from the annotation of a GenBank genome assembly. NCBI's taxonomy places the organism in Eukaryota, Fungi, Basidiomycota, Agaricomycetes, Agaricales, Mycenaceae.